This is a non-coding RNA of Pelobates cultripes (western spadefoot toad), 237 nucleotides long. NCBI's taxonomy places the organism in Eukaryota, Metazoa, Chordata, Amphibia, Anura, Pelobatidae. The record is from the annotation of a GenBank genome assembly.
CAUGUAAUCAUGUAUACCACGUGUAGUCAUACAUGAAAUAUAGUGAUUAAUAGAAAUUCUCUUCCCAUUAUGUGGAUGGACAAAUGUUGCUCCGGUCUGCAUAUGGCUGCAGGUGACGCAGCCACUGCAUCUGUAGCAGCCCUUUUUUGGAAUUUUAGAUGUCUUUGCAUAACACUGUCGAGGAUCAUUCUUUACCAAUAGGUCCCUCAAAUUACGGUUACGUCUGUAACUAAUGAC